GGGAAACUCAUCAUAUAUAAUUUCGUCAUUAUGCUCUGGAUACUUGUUUGACCAUAAACAGUUUCUGUCCAGCUACCGUAAACAUGGUAAACUUUUAAGAAGGUUCGUUUGACAAAGUCGUGAAUAUCUUAAAACUUUAACCACAUAAUAAACCUACAUGUACAAAUGUACAUAGUUAUAAUAUUGGCACCGCCGACGAAAUUUAGGGUCAAAAUGUCUGGCUUUCGCGACAUAAAUGUCAAUGGCUCGACAAUAAAUGCAAACCACAUAUCGAAUCUUAGCACAUAUUAAUGAAUUGCUUUAAAAAAAAAAAGGAAAGUGAGUAUAGAAUUCACGAUAGAUUUAGACUGACAGAAAAAGAACAAAUAUAUAAUAUGA
RNAcentral lists this long non-coding RNA (378 nucleotides) under Mytilus galloprovincialis (Mediterranean mussel). The record is from RNAcentral. Lineage: Eukaryota; Metazoa; Mollusca; Bivalvia; Mytilida; Mytilidae.